Molecule: ribosomal RNA, 485 nt
Filed under: uncultured bacterium
Lineage: Bacteria
Description: partial 16S ribosomal RNA
Rfam family: Bacterial small subunit ribosomal RNA
Source: RNAcentral
AUUGAACGCUGGCGGCAUGCCUUACACAUGCAAGUCGAACGGCAGCACGGGUGCUUGCACCUGGUGGCGAGUGGCGAACGGGUGAGUAAUACAUCGGAACAUGUCCUGUAGUGGGGGAUAGCCCGGCGAAAGCCGGAUUAAUACCGCAUACGAUCUACGGAUGAAAGCGGGGGCCCUUCGGGCCUCGCGCUAUAGGGUUGGCCGAUGGCUGAUUAGCUAGUUGGUGGGGUAAAGGCCUACCAAGGCGACGAUCAGUAGAUGGUCUGAGAGGACGACCAGCCACACUGGGGCUGAGACACGGCCCAGAAUCCGACGGGAGGCAGCAGUGGGGAAUUUUGGACAAGGGGCGAAAGCCUGAUCCAGCAAUGCCGCGUGUGUGAAGAAGGCCUUCGGGUUGUAAAGCACUUUUGUCCGGAAAGAAAUCCUUGCUCUAAUACAGUCGGGGGAUGACGGUACCGGAAGAAUAAGCACCGGCUAACUACGUG